This is a non-coding RNA of Petromyzon marinus (sea lamprey), 421 nucleotides long. NCBI's taxonomy places the organism in Eukaryota, Metazoa, Chordata, Hyperoartia, Petromyzontiformes, Petromyzontidae. The record is from RefSeq and is a predicted model, not a curated record.
GAUGUUAGCGAUAACGAUGAUGGUAGGGCUCGUGGUAACGACAACGACGACGACGAUGAUGACGAUGGCGAUGAUGAUGAUGAUGUUAGUGAUGAUGUUAGCGAUGGAGCGCGGCGUCCGACGUGAGCGUUGCUGACGAUCCGCAGAGAAGGCGAAUCUGAACCGGUGCGCAAAUCGGGAUUCUCCCGACUGGAUGUCGACUCCUGCGGGUCACACAAUCCGUUCAGCUCGGGCCACGCCGACUCUGACGGAGAGUGGAGUCCACCACACAACCCGGACGACUCCGACCACGACUCCCGCAACCCGUUCAGCGACAGCCACCUCGAGGACGACGGAGAGUGGAGUCCACCACAUGAGCCGGACGACUCCGACCACGACUCCCGCAAUCCGUUCAGCGACAGGUAGGAAGCCAGGUGCCACC